RNAcentral lists this long non-coding RNA (1648 nucleotides) under Diabrotica virgifera virgifera (western corn rootworm). Its description in RNAcentral is "uncharacterized LOC126892583". Lineage: Eukaryota; Metazoa; Arthropoda; Insecta; Coleoptera; Chrysomelidae. The record is from RNAcentral.
UUUACUCCUAACAUUGCUCUCUCCAUGGCUCUUUGUGUCUUCAUUAUUUUAUCCAUGUUUGCCUUGGUCAAGGUCCAUGUUUGGCAUGCGUAUGUGAGAAUUGGGAGUAUGCACUUGUGACGUUCCGUCACUUAUCUAAUUAAUUAUUAAUGGGAACACCUUAUUGGAUUAUUGUUAAAAUUAUUUUCUUAUAAUAUUAAAAACCCGUUCGCACAAAAUUCCCUUAGCGACGUCAUACUGGUGUAUCGUGGCCACAUUGAUAUUUCGUGAGGUUGGUACUGACGCCUGUCGCCAGCUGUCACGAGGUCGGAACGGUGAAGGGAGGCCAUUGACUUGGGAGUGUCAUGUGAGUGCAGAUGGCGGCGUGAAUUUCUUUGUAAAUUAAAUAAGUUAUUUCCUGUUGCAUAGUUCAAUUAUUGCUAUUGCAAGUUAUAUUUGUUUUUUUGGGUGAAUUAAAGUGACGGAAUAAUGGAACUGUAAGAAAACGGAUCUCACGCCGCCAUUCUGGAGAAAUCUCAUUACUGAUGGUAAACCCUCUCUAACACCGAGAGCAGACACUUCCAACGUUCGAUCAAUCAGGGAACAAGCCAAAGGAUACCGUCUCCCAUUUGUUUUUGUAUUGAUUCAUCAUCCUGCACCCUCCGAGGGUAGUUUCAUUAGCUAUUGGGCAGUUGCACCACUUCGGUGAUAACUUCAUUCCACGGAUUUGGUACCAGACACCAAGGAUCGUUGUUGGAACAUGUGAAAAGGGGUUUGUUUUGGGGGACAUUUGUUCAUACCAGUUAAAGACAUAUUUUUUUUUUCUAGUAAUAUUCAGGACAUUUCAUACUUUCAUAAUUUAAUUACACAUAUAUGUUUUUCUUUCUCCACAAAUUUAAGUACAUUUUAGAUAUAACAGCCAUACCUUACAGUUAGUAGUGUUCCCCAAAUUUAUAUAAUUCCUGGUAGAAGUUUCGAGCUCGAAUAUUCUCCACCUACAUGUUCUUUUCACUUGGUUUGUAUUAAUUUUAGACUUGUUUCCUCAUUUAAUUUAAAAAUAAUAUUAGUUCAAUUCACCUAAAUUUAAAAUCAUUUAACUUGCUUCAUAAUUUUCAAUUUUUAUUAGAUUUUUUGGUAAAUAUUAUUUAACUUUCGCUAUUAAACUUUUUAUAUUAAAUUCGAAUAAAUCCCUAAUACCCAUCCCCUCAGGAAGGUACUAGUUUUACUUGCUGUUAGUAUUUAGAACCACUAGUCAGAAAAGGAUCUUUGUAUCCAGUACUAAGUUGGUUCAUUUAGGGACUUGUUACCCAUCAACUCAUUGAGAGUUGUAUAAUAUAUAUUAUAUACAUUAGGUAUUUUCAUUGUUCUAAUAUCAGGUAGUAUUCAAUUAGGGUGUACGUAUUACAAUCGUACAAGUGUUAUUUGGUGAAGGGUUCAUACUAAUCUAGGUGUAGUUUGUACUUCCUAUAUUAGAGGUACUCAUUUGUAAAAAUUUUCUAACCUCAUUCACAUUAUUGUUACAUUAUUUAAUUGUAUAAAUCUGUAAAUGACUUUCACUAGUAUCUACCAUUUCUUGUCAUUUUAGAGUCACAUACUAGUCACUUGUUUUAACUCAGAGAUUGUGAAUAUCUAGUAGUUAUAUUUAAUAAAUAUAUACAUUUAUUGUGAA